This 1333-nucleotide unclassified non-coding RNA is filed under the name Hevea brasiliensis (rubber tree). The record is from RNAcentral. Lineage: Eukaryota; Viridiplantae; Streptophyta; Magnoliopsida; Malpighiales; Euphorbiaceae.
AUACUUUCUCAUAGUUCCUGCCUGGAAAUUAGAACAGGAACACUCAUUACUCAUCAAGGCUAACUUAUAUGCACAAACACAGCAAGUUAUGCUGAUUGAUAACUUCUUAAACACAUGUACGGGAGCAUGAAUAAGCAUUGUCCCACACAUAUACUUACAGAAAAAUUUACACACCGGAAAAUCAAAUGGUGAACCUAUUCAAUCAUCAUUGGUAUAAGUUUUGCUGAUCUAAAAGCUACCUUUUCAACAAUAAGAUUCAUACAGCUAAAGGCAACAGCUGAAAUUGUUGUCCCCACAACAACAUAAAAAAAUAGAAAGUAGAAUUAAGUAAUCAAACAGGACAACAAUUUUGAGCAGUGUCUGAAGGAAUACAACUCACACUAGUUUUUGUUUAAAAGGCCAGGACCCAGACCCUAAAGUUCUUUUCCUCAUUUGAUUCCCAUAAUAGUCUAUUCAAGGUUUAUCAUCAUAAUCUACGUCCCAAGGCUCCCAACUACAACCAGCCUUAUCAGGCUUGUCUUCAAAACCCACAGAUAUUUGAUCUAUUAAACCUAAUGUCCAAGUCAACUAUUUAUAAUUAUAAUAGAAAGAAGCAAAUAAAAGAAAGAAUGGGUCUUCCAGAAAGAAAAUACUACACUUGGUUAGUAUAUAAGAAUAAUCAGAGUCCAUUACUAAAUCUCCAACCCCCUGUUCUUAUCAUGUUACAUGAUUAUACCCAAGUUAUCUUUCCACAAUUAUAGGUUCAUAAUACCCAUGCAUAAAGCUCUCAACCUCAUGUGUCCUCAACAGUCAACACCAGACUUGAGCUGACUCAUCAUAGACAUGCUACUAGAAUCUUUUGACAAGAGAAAGAAAUCAAGCUAAAUGCACAAAGGUAGUAAAAGUUGAAAGAAACAUUGAAGGCAAUAGGUACUUUAAUGUCUAAGGCGCAAGGCGCCAAAAAAGUGUGUGCCUAAGCAAAGUGAGGUGCACAUUUCCAAAAACAUUCAAUUUAUGUUUAGCAAGUAAAAUUCAGGUUGAUGUAGAAUAAAACACAGAAGGGAAGGAGCAGAGAGAUUUUCAAAAAAUAUCAUGAUAAAAUAGAAGGGGGGAGAGGCAGAGAGAGCCUUAAAACAGUAUUUUAAGGUUAAUAGAUGGGCAAAAAGUAGAUGGAAGUAACUAAAAAGGAAAAAAAGGUAAAAGUAUUUUUUUUUAAAAAAAUUACUUGUAUUUGUCUCUGUUACUCAUCAGAAAAGGGGACCAUAUGUGCAAGAAUUGUAGUCUACAUUGAAAAUUUUUUGCCCCCAGGAAUUGCAAUUUAUGUUUGAAAACUUUUUGCUGCUGCUUUUAACUU